Molecule: ribosomal RNA, 319 nt
Filed under: uncultured eukaryote
Lineage: Eukaryota
Description: partial 18S ribosomal RNA
Rfam family: Eukaryotic small subunit ribosomal RNA
Source: RNAcentral
CCCUUAGAUGUUCUGGGCAGCACGCGCGCUACAAUGGUCUUCGCAAACGGAUGCAUUCUCGAAGGAGAAUGCCAAUCUUGGAAUCUAUGCCUUGGUCGGGACAGUUGCUUGCAAUUUUUCGACUCGAACCAGGAAUUCCUUGUAAUCGUGAUUCAUCACAUCACGAUGAAUACGUCCCUGCCCUUUGUACACACCGCCCGUCGCUCCUACCGAUCGAAGAGUUAGGUGAAUUGUUUUGAUCGAUAAGAUUUGACUAUGGUCAACUCUCGUUGGGAAAUUCUGUGAAUCCGACUGUUUAGAGGAAGGAAAAGUCGUAACA